RNAcentral lists this transfer-messenger RNA (374 nucleotides) under Bacteroidia bacterium. It matches the Rfam family "transfer-messenger RNA". From Rfam's summary of the family: Bacterial tmRNA, also known as 10Sa RNA or SsrA, is named for its dual tRNA and mRNA-like properties. Its role is to liberate the mRNA from a stalled ribosome. To accomplish this part of the tmRNA is used as a reading frame that ends in a translation stop signal. Lineage: Bacteria; Pseudomonadati; Bacteroidota; Bacteroidia. The record is from RNAcentral.
GGGGGUGUUCUGGCUUUUGACGGGUUGGCCAAUAGAUGUGUAAGCACGUAGAGCUUGAAGGUAUGCUCUUAAAUCUCACUUUCAAAAUCGUAAACGGCGAGUCUAACUUUGCCAUGGCUGCCUAGUCUUAGAGACUAUAGCAAUUGCCAUCCGAUUGCCUGAGCUCUGUCUGAGCAGUGAGGGAUAACAGUCGGUCGAACAAGCUCAGAUAAUUUUAGCCCAUUUCUACCAAGCUAAAAUUUAUUGUGUAGAAUAAGGAUAAAUUGGGUUUUUGAUGCACCUGGCUUUUCUCGAAAACCAAGCAGCAAUAAACGUGUAGAAAACGCAACUCUAUUCCGAUUCGGACCCGGGUUCGACUCCCGGCAUCUCCACUA